UAUUGGACAAUGGGGGCAACCCUGAUCCAGCCAUGCCGCGUGAGUGAUGAAGGCCUUCGGGUUGUAAAGCUCUUUUGGCGGGGACGAUGAUGACGGUACCCGCAGAAUAAGCCCCGGCUAACUUCGUGCCAGCAGCCGCGGUAAGACGAAGGGGGCUAGCGUUGUUCGGAAUUACUGGGCGUAAAGCGAGUGUAGGUGGUUAUCCAAGUUGGAUGUGAAAGCCUUGAGCUCAACUCAAGAAAUGCAUUCAGGACUGGAUGGCUAGAGGACCGGAGAGGAUAGUGGAAUUCCCAGUGUAGUGGUGAAAUACGUAGAGAUUGGGAAGAACACCAGUGGCGAAGGCGGCUAUCUGGACGGUUUCGACACUAAGACCGAAA
This 377-nucleotide ribosomal RNA is filed under the name uncultured bacterium. Its description in RNAcentral is "bacterial SSU rRNA". It matches the Rfam family "Bacterial small subunit ribosomal RNA", at positions 362 to 758 of the family's 1533-position model. The record is from RNAcentral.